This 300-nucleotide ribosomal RNA is filed under the name uncultured bacterium. RNAcentral describes it as "bacterial SSU rRNA". It matches the Rfam family "Bacterial small subunit ribosomal RNA", at positions 115 to 433 of the family's 1533-position model. The record is from RNAcentral.
ACGUAAGAAUCUACCUUUAGGACGGGGAUAACUUCUGGAAACGGAUGCUAAUACCCGAUAUGCUGUGGAGUGAAAGGAAUUUCGCCUAAAGAUGAUCUUGCGUCUGAUUAGCUAGAUAGUGUGGUAAUGGCGCACUAUGGCGACGAUCAGUAGCUGGUCUGAGAGGAUGGACAGCCACAUUGGAACUGAGACACGGUCCAAACUCCUACGGGAGGCAGCAGUGGGGAAUUUUCCGCAAUGGGCGAAAGCCUGACGGAGCGACGCUGCGUGAAGGAUGACGGCCUGCGGGUUGUAAACUUC